GGUUCUGAUCCUGCCUGGAAUUAAAUGUAUAUGAUUUUUAUAGCAUGAAGAUAAUAACAUCUGUCUGAACUUUUUUUUAAUGUUUCAUUUUAGUUUAUAAAAAUGUUUUUCUGUUACAAAUCAUGAUGUAUUGUUUUAUGUGUACAUGUUAUGCUGCCUAUCAAGGACCCUUGAUUGGAAUAAUAAAUAUUCUUAUUCUUAUAGUUUUUUCACUGACCCCCUUAACCCCCUCUUAACUUAAUUUGGGAAAAAUGGAUUGACCAAUAAGUAUAUAUAUAUAUAAUCGGUGUCAAUUAAACAAAACUUGCAGCAAUUUUUACCCCC
Molecule: long non-coding RNA, 324 nt
Filed under: Mytilus galloprovincialis (Mediterranean mussel)
Lineage: Eukaryota; Metazoa; Mollusca; Bivalvia; Mytilida; Mytilidae
Source: RNAcentral